This 75-nucleotide transfer RNA is filed under the name Enhygromyxa salina. RNAcentral's name for it is "tRNA-Phe". It matches the Rfam family "tRNA". Rfam says of the family: Transfer RNA (tRNA) molecules are approximately 80 nucleotides in length. Their secondary structure includes four short double-helical elements and three loops (D, anti-codon, and T loops). Lineage: Bacteria; Pseudomonadati; Myxococcota; Nannocystales; Nannocystaceae. The record is from RNAcentral.
GCCCAGGUAGCUCAGUCGGUAGAGCAGGGGACUGAAAAUCCCCGUGUCGGCGGUUCGAUUCCGUCCCUGGGCACC